GUAACAGGAGUAUGAUGAGUAUGUUUACCUUCCAAGUAAAAGGUCCUUUGUAGGUUGUUAUU
This 62-nucleotide transfer RNA is filed under the name Mactra antiquata. RNAcentral's name for it is "tRNA-Gly". The record is from RNAcentral. Lineage: Eukaryota; Metazoa; Mollusca; Bivalvia; Venerida; Mactridae.